UACGUAGGGUGCAAGCGUUGUCCGGAAUUAUUGGGCGUAAAGAGCUCGUAGGCGGUUUGUCGCGUCUGCUGUGAAAAUCCAGGGCUUAACCCUGGACCUGCAGUGGGUACGGGCAGACUGGAGUGCGGUAGGGGAGAUCGGAAUUCCUGGUGUAGCGGUGAAAUGCGCAGAUAUCGGGAGGAACACCGGUGGCGAAGGCGGUUCUCUGGGCCUUACCUGACGCUGAGGAGCGAAAGCGUGGGGAGCGAACAGG
Molecule: ribosomal RNA, 253 nt
Filed under: uncultured bacterium
Lineage: Bacteria
Description: partial 16S ribosomal RNA
Rfam family: Bacterial small subunit ribosomal RNA
Source: RNAcentral